CACGACCCUGUUCUAAAAAGGGGUACACGACCCUGUUCUAAAAAGGGGUAAAUCCCUAAUCUCAUUCCCAACCUCUCAUCUUCAUCCAUACACCCUCAUCUCCAGCGGCGGCAACAAGUCUAGACUGAGGGAGGAGAACAUCGAUGGUGAAUCAUGGUGUUGGUGCAUCGUGGUGUUUUGAAGGAGUGGGGUAUUGGUUUAGAACCCCCAACCGGGGUGGCCAUACCCGCGAGACGGACUAGCGCUAGGACGCGGCUUGGCGGAGGGGGGCAGCGCCUCCGCGACUCCGACAGUUAGAGAGCUAAGAUCUCCUCACGUAUCCGAACUUCAUUUCUUAUGGGUUCAGUGUCUUCUCCUUUCAUGUAAUAUCGGGUUCUGGGUAUGUCUCUGGCGAAGCCUAUGGCUUUUCUUGUUGGUGGUAAUGGAGGAAAAGGAUGGGUGUGGUUCCAGUAUUACAGCAUUAGCGAAGGCUAGCAAAGUUUCUGGUUUGUAAAGGAUAUGUCUUAAUGACCAAUUCCUUUUUAUUUACCAAUUAGCUUAAUAUUUUUGGUUAUGUAGGGUGUCGGCUUUGAUUUAGUAAUGAAAAUGGUGUUUACGAAUGUAAUUCUAGAUUGUAUGUAUCAAAAGUUAUUGGCUUGAUAGUUGUUGUAAAUAUAGGAAAGAUCACUAACCUUGUAUUAUGCUGAAUUUUCUAACCACUGUUGUUCUUUUUGUGUUUCUCUCCCUAGCCAAUAUGGAUUCAUACGAUGAUUCACGGUAAUGGAAUGGAAUAAUGAAUAUAUAUGAAGACAGGUGAUUUGAUGGGUUGUAUCUAGCAUAUCACUUGCAAAGCCAUUGGAACAAUUCGUGAAUGGAUCAUAUGGGGUUCAAAAGUGCAAAUUGCAACUCGCUGUACACAUGAAAAACAAAUCUGUAAAUAUAAGUUCAUGUAUUUUUUUGGUUCUUUUGUUUGGGUUUUUAUUUGGCUUUGAGUUUGAGUGGAGUUAAAGAAAUGUGAGACGUUUUUUGUUGGAUGGGGGAUUUUGGUGUUAGAUGAUGGGUUUUGUGUGGGGAUUCCUGUUAAUGGAUGGUUGUUGAGGGACAUUGUGUGCAAAAUAGAGGAUGUAAGUGGUUAUGUUUCUAUGUGCUUUUUCUUCACUACCCACUUCCCUAUAGACUAGGUAACUCCCUCAUAACCAGAAACUACCCUCCACUACUAAAACUAGUGUAUUUGUCCUUUUUUAUUAUUUAUUUUUCUGCAAUUAAAUUAUUUAUUUUGUUGUGAUUUUCGAAUAAUUAUAUAAUUAUUUUCUAAAAAAUAUAUUUUGAUAGCAGACAUGUGUCUUUUAUGCUUUUUAUGGGCCGGACAAAAUGAGUAUUCACAAAUAUCAUAACUUUUGAUCAUGCCAAAAGGGGCUGAAAAUGUUGUUUGAGCUGUUUUGCAGGUUGUAUUGAGGUUCCAUAGUUAAUCUUGAAGUGCUACACUUGUAUCACCACUUACAUAAAUUGAAGGGGAGAAUAAAGUGAGGCGGACCAGUGCAUUCUGAUUCAACCAUAGCAAACACGUUUUGACUAGCAUCAAGUCAAUCAAACAAGAAGUGUUUUAGAGUUUGCCAUCAUAAAAAAUGGGGAGAUUGAAAUGACAAAUAGUCAAAGGAUGUCAUCAUAAUUGACCUACUUAGUUUUGAUAAAGACAAUGAGUUAAAUGGAAGUUUGAAGAUGUUGACAUCACAACAAACAACAUGUCAAAUACUCAAAGGUCAACGUCAUAGACCUGAGAUUAUUUUAUUAUUCUAGAAGUCUUAAGAUUUUUGCCUAAUGCAUGAAUCUUACUUAUUCUAGAAGUCUCAAAUAUAAUAUAAGUAAGAUUCAUGCAUUUGUAUUAGGCAUACUUGGUUUUUGUGCAUAAAAGAAUCAUCUAUUUCAAAAUCAUGUGUUGCAUGUUCUUUCAUCAUAUAAAAUGUUUACCAUGCA
RNAcentral lists this long non-coding RNA (1953 nucleotides) under Lupinus angustifolius (narrow-leaved blue lupine). RNAcentral's name for it is "long non-coding RNA (LANG_LNC001960)". The record is from RNAcentral. Lineage: Eukaryota; Viridiplantae; Streptophyta; Magnoliopsida; Fabales; Fabaceae.